CCCUGGCUCAGGAUGAACGCUAGCGGCAGGCUUAACACAUGCAAGUCGAGGGGUAUAAGUCUUCGGAUUUAGAGACCGGCGCACGGGUGCGUAACGCGUAUGCAAUCUACCUUUCACAGAGGGAUAGCCCAGAGAAAUUUGGAUUAAUACCUCAUAGUAUAGUGAUACCGCAUGGUACUACUAUUAAAGUCACAACGGUGAAAGAUGAGCAUGCGUCCCAUUAGCUAGUUGGUAAGGUAACGGCUUACCAAGGCUACGAUGGGUAGGGGUCCUGAGAGGGAGAUCCCCCACACUGGUACUGAGACACGGACCAGACUCCUACGGGAGGCAGCAGUGAGGAAUAUUGGACAAUGGGCGCAAGCCUGAUCCAGCCAUGCCGCGUGCAGGAUGACGGUCCUAUGGAUUGUAAACUGCUUUUGCACAGGAAGAAACAACGCUACGUGUAGCGUCUUGACGGUACUGUGAGAAUAAGGAUCGGCU
Molecule: ribosomal RNA, 480 nt
Filed under: Flavobacterium sp. CL3.60
Lineage: Bacteria; Pseudomonadati; Bacteroidota; Flavobacteriia; Flavobacteriales; Flavobacteriaceae
Description: bacterial SSU rRNA
Rfam family: Bacterial small subunit ribosomal RNA
Source: RNAcentral